UGGCGGGGUAGAGGCCCACCAAACCGACGAUCAGUAGCCGGCCUGAGAGGGUGGACGGCCACAUUGGGACUGAGACACGGCCCAAACUCCUACGGGAGGCAGCAGUGGGGGAUAUUGCACAAUGGGGGAAACCCUGAUGCAGCAACGCCGCGUGUGGGAAGAAGGUUUUCGGAUUGUAAACCACUGUUCUCAGGGACGAUAAUGACGGUACCUGAGGAGAAAGCUCCGGCUAACUAC
Molecule: ribosomal RNA, 237 nt
Filed under: uncultured bacterium
Lineage: Bacteria
Description: partial 16S ribosomal RNA
Rfam family: Bacterial small subunit ribosomal RNA
Source: RNAcentral